This is a long non-coding RNA of Balaenoptera ricei (Rice's whale), 355 nucleotides long. RefSeq lists it as uncharacterized. NCBI's taxonomy places the organism in Eukaryota, Metazoa, Chordata, Mammalia, Artiodactyla, Balaenopteridae. The record is from RefSeq and is a predicted model, not a curated record. The transcript has 3 exons.
GCCCAGGGAGACUGAGGAGAACCUCCGGGAACAGGAAGAGGAUCCCCAAGAGGUAGCCAGGAGGAACUGCUAUGACCCCUUAGGUGUUCACAAGAUGAGUCCGUUUCAGGCUGAUGUUCCCCUGUGGAGAUGAAGAGUGCUCUGCUCUUCUGGGUCCCGUAGCCACCGCCAUCCACAGUCGAAGGCCAUUCCCAAGCAGAAUGGGUUUCAGGGAGUCGCGCGCCUUUCGCCUUGUCUCCAGGAGUGUGGUUUUCUAAAGGAUGAAGAAAGAGUUUCUCAACUUGCCACUCCACACGCCAGCCCUCUCUUUUCUGCCGUCCACUGCUUCACCAGGUUGCAGGUCCAGAUUUCUGCC